AGAAAUCAGAAAUAUAUUUCAUUCCUUUGCACUUAAUAUAAAAAGAGGUAAUGCAUGUUCACCGUUCAUUUUUCUGUCCUUGUUACACUCAUCAAUUUGAGUACUGUUAAUUAACAAGUUCCAUUACUGUUUACUAAUAUCUAUUUUAUAAAGUGCAUUUCACUCACUCUCUUACCUCUGCUUUUUGAUUUCUACACAACCAAAGGAAACCCUCGCAGAAAAAGAGUGAUGAGAAUAUGUCGCAUGUCUGCUAGUGGAGCAUCGACAUCGGUGCAUGGAAAUCAUGGUCGAUCUUCAAUGUGAAGCUGCUUCUUCUACUUUUGGGAACGGUGACAAAGGCUUUGUGUUUCUUUUAUUCAUCUGUGAUGUUAUUUCUUCUGUAGUCACAAUUAGCAACUUUGUCCGUUACUAAUUUGAGGUAAGGUUAGUUUUUAUUUAAAUUUCAUGAUUUUUUUCUAGGGAUUUUGGUGUUGUUUAUUGUAGUUGUGACUCGUCCAAUAUUGGAAUAUUAUUGGAGCUGAAUUAUAAUUCUACUUUUUACUUAGACAAUUAAAUUUUGCAACUUGCAAUUUCUUCUAUUCUUAAAAGAUAGAAGGGAUAAGCAACAUUGUCUACACAUUUAGAUUAGGUCGGCGUGAAAAAUG
RNAcentral lists this long non-coding RNA (644 nucleotides) under Olea europaea (common olive). RNAcentral describes it as "long non-coding RNA (OEUR_LNC000209)". The record is from RNAcentral. Lineage: Eukaryota; Viridiplantae; Streptophyta; Magnoliopsida; Lamiales; Oleaceae.